Non-coding RNA from Phasianus colchicus (ring-necked pheasant), 1485 nucleotides. Lineage: Eukaryota; Metazoa; Chordata; Aves; Galliformes; Phasianidae. The record is from RefSeq and is a predicted model, not a curated record.
AAAUCAUGGAACAGAUCAUAGUGAUGUCCUUCAUAUGUGAUGAACCUUUUUUCACUUCCAAGAUGAAUGAAGAAACCCUAUCAGUGGACACCCCAAGCCGUUGUAUAGGUAAUUUGUCUGAAACAUCUGACCAAAAUGUCACAUAUUCACAUACUGCCAUUAUUUCACGAGGAAGGCUCAUUUUAUAUGAUGCUUUUGUCUGAGACUGUGUUGAAUUUCAUUUGCAAGUUGUUUAUUAUAAAGUUAUAAAGCUAUGUGAUAGCUUUAUGGCUCGUUUUAAAGAUGUGUAGGUAUUACUUGCUCUGUGUUGUAAUAGCAUGAAGGCCAGUUUUCAAAAGUGCUCCAAAUGCUUUGGAGUUUAAGUCCCUUUCACCUUAAAAACGUGGGUGCAAUUAAAACUUGCAGGUCUGGCCUAUUAAAAAUAUGUCAUUCAGCCUCUCUGUUGUUGAGAAUGGGGAGGGGAGUGCAUGGGUAUUCUGUGAUGCAGCCACUUUAAAAAUAUGUCUGAACCUAUCUAAGCAUAUCUUGCUUGUUAGUGUACCUUGUCCUUUUGAACUACUGGAAGGAGUUCACUGUAUGAAGGAGGAAUUGGCUAUUCUAAAAAGGACAGCUGGAAAGCAAGACAUCCAGUGAGCUUAUGGCAAGCUGUGGAAUGCUAUAUUUCAUGAAUAUCUCUUUUCAUUUAUUUUUUUGUUCCAUGAUUUUAAAUACAAUGGUGACGGGAAAAUGCUACAUUUCAUGAAUUUUUGCUUUAUCUUUUUUUGUGUGUGUGUGUUUCUGAGGCUUUAAAUACAGUGUUGACUGGGAAAGGGAAGUUGCACUGAGAAAGAUUUUGCUCUUCAAACUGUACGUGCCAAGGUUUGCCCCCAAGGUACGGUCUGGCUCAGCACACUAGCUCCUGUCAAGAAGUCAAACAUUGCUCUGGAAAACAAACUUGUCUUCAUGCGGAUGAAGAUGCUAUUUAAUGCGAUGCUGUUUAACUGGGCACCCUGCAUGGAAACUGGAGCUCUGUUGUUAGCCCCAUUUCACAGGCAAGGAAACUGUAUCUAAAUGAUACCUCAAAACUGUGGCAAAGCUGAGAAUAGAAUCCAAGUUUAAUUCCAUAGAUACUCAGCUUUCUGGGCUUUGAAAAGAGCUGUCGUACUAUAAGGAAGUACUUCAGCAUCCUUUUCAUUUGAAGAUGUUUCCAAACAUUUUUCCUUAUAUUUGCCUCUCAAAAGUGUUGUUUCACAUUCGUGUUCCUGUUCCAUCAAGUUUCUUUCCUUUUCUCAGCUGCAAUCAUUAACAGCUGGUGAGUAAAUUAAUAAUGGGUAAAAAGUAUAGCUGGUUGAGCAUUUCUGUUCUUGUGACUGGGGGAAAAUGCUCCAAGAAAAAUGCACUGAUAUUUUCAAACCACAGUGCUGUUGUGUUUGUGUGCUUUUUUCCUGAAUACCAAGCUGGUUGAUGAGCCUCAGCACUCUUGAUUUAGACCAAGGGUUAGGCUCC